Molecule: long non-coding RNA, 622 nt
Organism: Callithrix jacchus (white-tufted-ear marmoset)
Lineage: Eukaryota; Metazoa; Chordata; Mammalia; Primates; Cebidae
Source: RefSeq, a predicted model, not a curated record
GAGAGGAGGUAGGGGAGAAAGCACAUUCCAGGAAAGAGAUUUUAGAUGGACAAAUUACAUUUAGAAGCUUUUAACAGAGUACCUGGCUUGUGAUAAGUGCUCAAUAAAAGCUAAUGCUAUGAAGAUAGACCAAGAAGGAUAAGUUGGGUCCACAGCGAGGGGCUGUCAGAAGAUUGGUCCGACAACGGAGGUGUGGCAGAGGGUGGAGAAGCUGAUGGCAGAAAGACGCUCUGGGACCUUGGUAUUCAGACACAGAAUAAAGGGCUUCAUUCAAUGAUGGAAAAGAAUGACAGGCUUUGAGAAUCUACUCCCAGGGGACGGUAAAUGAAUCAGGUAGCAUCAUACCUUGUACUCAAAGGAUGAAUGAAUGAGUAUGAUACAGUGGAAAGGCCAUGGAACUUGGUGGGGACAGCAUUCAUCCCCUCUGUAGGAUGCUGCCCCAAGGCACCAUCUUGGACACAGAGGAACUGAGCCCUCAUCAGCUGCCCCCUGGAUCUUUGAAUUCCUAGCCUCAAGAACUCUAAGAAAUAAAUUCCAAUUUUUUAUAAGUUACCCAGUCUGUGGUAUUUUGUCUUAACAGCUCAAAUGGAUUAAAAGAGCUGGUGAUCAUGGAACUCUUGAA